Molecule: ribosomal RNA, 443 nt
Filed under: uncultured bacterium
Lineage: Bacteria
Description: partial 16S ribosomal RNA
Rfam family: Bacterial small subunit ribosomal RNA
Source: RNAcentral
CCUACGGGAGGCAGCAGUGGGGAAUAUUGGGCAAUGGACGCAAGCCUGACCCAGCAACGCCGCGUGAAUGAUGAAGGUCCUCGGAUUGUAAACUUCUUUUAUCAGGGACGAAACAAGUGACGGUACCUUAUGAAUAAGCCUCGGCUAACUACGUGCCAGCAGCCGCGGUACUACGUAGGAGGCAAGCGUUAUCCGGAUUGACUGGGGGUAAAGGGGGUGUAGGCGGUUAGGCAAGUCAGUUGUGAAAUACACAGGCUCAACCUGGGAACUGCCAUUGAAACUGUUUGUCGUGAGUGCAGGAGGGGCAGACGGAAUUCCUAGUGGAGCGGUGAAAUGCGUAGAUAUUAGGAGGAACACCAGUGGCGAAGGCGGUCUGCUGGACUGCAACUGACGCUGAGGCGCGAAAGCGUGGGGAGCAAACAGGAUUAGAUACCCGAGUAGUC